RNAcentral lists this ribosomal RNA (355 nucleotides) under uncultured Pseudomonas sp. RNAcentral describes it as "bacterial SSU rRNA". It matches the Rfam family "Bacterial small subunit ribosomal RNA", at positions 1031 to 1382 of the family's 1533-position model. Lineage: Bacteria; Pseudomonadati; Pseudomonadota; Gammaproteobacteria; Pseudomonadales; Pseudomonadaceae. The record is from RNAcentral.
GACACAGGUGCUGCAUGGCGUGUCGUCAGCUCGUGUCGUGAGAUGGUUGGGUUAACGUCCCGUAACGAGCGCAACCCUUGUCCUUAGUUACCAGCACGUUAUGGUGGGCACUCUAAGGAGACUGCCGGUGACAAACCGGAGGAAGGUGGGGAUGACGUCAAGUCAUCAUGGCCCUUACGGCCUGGGCUACACACGUGCUACAAUGGUCGGUACAAAGGGUUGCCAAGCCGCGAGGUGGAGCUAAUCCCAUAAAACCGAUCGUAGUCCGGAUCGCAGUCUGCAACUCGACUGCGUGAAGUCGGAAUCGCUAGUAAUCGUGAAUCAGAAUGUCACGGUGAAUACGUUCCCGGGCCUU